UCCUUUUCCCAUACCCAUUGCAUAUCGGAGUUGUGAAUUCUUAAAAUAUCUCCUGUAUGCAUGGAUUAUAGGAGGA
Molecule: microRNA precursor, 76 nt
Organism: Cavia porcellus (domestic guinea pig)
Lineage: Eukaryota; Metazoa; Chordata; Mammalia; Rodentia; Caviidae
Rfam family: mir-660 microRNA precursor family
Source: Rfam